GCUGCAUAUCCUAACUUUCUCACACUCACAUACGUUAUCGUUUCUACUUCUUCAAUUAAACACAUUAACUGUUAAUCUUCCUCUAUCUAUACAUCUCACAGAUCUCCCAGUCUUUACUCAGACCCUCAAUAAUGGCUGGGUUUCCUAACCGCUUCAAACUUUUCACCUAUAUAUAUAGUUCAUGUCAUACACCAGGGCCGUGCAUCUCAAAUCAACUCACAUAUUUUUUAAACCCGCAUAGAUUUCAUCCAGUAGUCGAAAUGUCAUCCUCUGGUGCUUCUGUUGCUCAACCAGCCGUCCGACACUCAACAUUUGAACCUCUCCGCCUUGGCUGUAAAAAUGGAUGAAAAUAAUUCAGUGCUCCAGUGUCAUGGUGGUCACCGCUGUCAAUCAAAAAUAUUUUGAGCGGUGAUGGCGUCAUUUGGUUCAUGACAACCGGUCGACCAUUGUAACCUAAUUACAGCACGUAUUAGACUUAUAUGGUUGUAAAUUUGUAAUGGAUUAUUUCAAAACUAUUUUGUAAAAGCCUUUUGGGCUUAAGCAAUGAAUCAAAAGUUGACAAAAA
Long non-coding RNA from Brassica napus (rape), 565 nucleotides. RefSeq lists it as uncharacterized. The transcript has 3 exons. The record is from RefSeq and is a predicted model, not a curated record. Lineage: Eukaryota; Viridiplantae; Streptophyta; Magnoliopsida; Brassicales; Brassicaceae.